GUCGAGGUCCCCGUGCCAGUCGCUGGUGACAACGGAUUCAACAACAACAACAACGGAUUCGACAACAACAACGGAUUCGACAACAACAAUAAUGGAUUCGGAAUGAGCCUGAGCACACAGAUUAGUGACGCCGACUCAGUAAGCAUCAACCUGGGAGGAGGAUUCGACAGCCAGGUCCGUCACGUUGACAACGGCAACAGCAACAACGGAUUCGACGGAUUCAAUGGCGGGAACAACAACGACUUCGGAAUCGUGAGCAGCGGCCAAUCCGGUCAGACCGGCCACCA
Molecule: long non-coding RNA, 287 nt
Organism: Dreissena polymorpha
Lineage: Eukaryota; Metazoa; Mollusca; Bivalvia; Myida; Dreissenidae
Exons: 3
Source: RefSeq, a predicted model, not a curated record